CCUAUAAAAUUGCCGAAUCUUAAGUUUUUAAGUACGGGGGAACACAUUGUGGGUGAAUCUUACAAGUAUAUAUGUAAGUAGGGUGCCUUCAACCCGAAUCCGUAAGCUAACCUCGGAGGCAUUAGUAGAGGGGAGAA
Molecule: small RNA, 137 nt
Filed under: Clostridium felsineum
Lineage: Bacteria; Bacillati; Bacillota; Clostridia; Eubacteriales; Clostridiaceae
Description: Clostridium roseum c-di-AMP sequence
Rfam family: c-di-AMP riboswitch aptamer (ydaO/yuaA leader)
About the family: This family represents a conserved RNA structure found upstream of the ydaO and yuaA genes in Bacillus subtilis and related genes in other bacteria.
Source: RNAcentral